Molecule: ribosomal RNA, 302 nt
Filed under: uncultured bacterium
Lineage: Bacteria
Description: partial 16S ribosomal RNA
Rfam family: Bacterial small subunit ribosomal RNA
Source: RNAcentral
GCAGCCGCCACGGGAAUACAGAGGGUGCGAGCGUUAAUCGGAUUUACUGGGCGUAAAGCGUGCGUAGGCGGCUUUUUAAGUCGGAUGUGAAAUCCCUGAGCUUAACUUAGGAAUUGCAUUCGAUACUGGGAAGCUAGAGUAUGGGAGAGGAUGGUAGAAUUCCAGGUGUAGCGGUGAAAUGCGUAGAGAUCUGGAGGAAUACCGAUGGCGAAGGCAGCCAUCUGGCCUAAUACUGACGCUGAGGUACGAAAGCAUGGGGAGCAAACAGGAUUAGAUACCCGCGUAGUCCCUGUCUCUUAUAC